UCCGGUUUGGCACCGGCAGUCCUCCCAGAGUCCUCGGCUUGACCCGGUAGCAACUGGGAGCGGGGGUUGCGCUCGUUGCGGGACUUAACCCAACAUCUCACGACACGAGCUGACGACAGCCAUGCACCACCUGUACACCGACCACAAGGGGGACCGUGUCUCCACGGUUUUCCGGUGUAUGUCAAGCCUUGGUAAGGUUCUUCGCGUUGCGUCGAGUUAGACCACAUGCUCCACCGCUUGUGCGGGCCCCCGUCAAUUCCUUUGAGUUUCAGCCUUGCGGCCGUACUCCCCAGGCGGGGCACUUAAUGCGUUAGCGCCGGCACCCAGGGGGUCGCUCCCCCAGGCACCUAGUGCCCAUCGUUUACGGCGUGGACUAC
RNAcentral lists this unclassified non-coding RNA (377 nucleotides) under uncultured bacterium. RNAcentral describes it as "contains 16S-23S intergenic spacer region". The record is from RNAcentral.